GGACUCAAUCCCAUGACCCCAGGAUCACAACCUGAGCAGAAGACAGAUAGACACUCAACCACUGAGCUACCCAGGUGCUCGAUCAUGAUUCUUUUCACAUAGUUAUCAUCAUGUUGGUUACUCUCUUUACAUCCCUACACUGACCAUUUAAUAAUGGUUGAUUAUUUACCUGAAGGUUAGGGUUAAUAAUAGUUGAUUAUUUACCUGAAGGUUAGGGUUAUGGUUAUUUUGUUAUGGUUAUACUAGUGGAUGAUAAUAAGGGUCACAUCCAUUUGUGUAGAAGGAAAGAUCUCUCCUGGAUUGAGAAAUCAUUUCUCAGUUAUCUGGGUCAGAGACCUAACUCUGAGCCCAGCGCUGGAAACCAAGCGUCCAAUAAGAUGGGACUGGGGCACUCGUAAUUUUAAUGGUAGCAGGGCCAAGAAGACAGCCCCCUGGUGGAGUUGGUCAAUGGUCUCAUCAAUGACAAUUAAUGAGUCAGGAAACAAGAAUGCUGGGAGAUGCUAUCUGAGCCACAGGGUAACUACCCCAAAUGCCUGGAUCUAAGACAGGACUUGUGAUCCCUUGAGUUCAAGCUAAUUCAUGAGAAGAUCAGAAUUCGGUAUUCUGUAAGCUUUAAAAAAAAAAUGCUUUUGACAUUUUUCAAAUUCCCCUUUCAAAUUUCUCUUUUGUUUUCUACGUGUAUUGGGUAAAGUUGUUUUUGAAAACCCAGUCUGCCUCAGCUCUGUUAAGGGAAACAAAUUAUAGGCUUUGCCUUUGCUUGAGCAAGCCCAGGGCCAGAAGUACACAGUGAGGCAACACACACUCAAGUUAAAGAAAUCUUACGGAAUGGGAGAAUCGGGAGGAAGAGUAGGAGUCACCUGCUGGGUUCCAAAUCCAGGAAGAUUUAGAGGGCAUUUUACCAAGAUUGGCAGCAUUUUAAAAUAGACAAAUAUUGUAUUACUUGGGAUAAUUUUCAUUUCUCACACUAAAAUGUAAAAGUACAAUUGCAUACAAAUCAGAAGUCUGUUACUUGCAAAAAUUCAGAGCAUACAUACUCUAUAAGCCUUUUUCCCCUUGACGGUAUAAACAAGGUCUGUUUUCCCAAUUAGUUUCAUACAAAAUGCAAACAUUAUUCUCCCAUCAUAAAAGUAAUUUUGAAGCUCAUCUAAAAGAUUACCAGGUAAUACUUUAGCAUAGUUACUCAAGAUACACUUUUUUUUUAAGAUUUUAUUUAUUUGUUUAUGAGAGACACAGAGAAAGAGAGAGGCAGAGACACAGGCAGAGGGAGAAGCAGGCUCCAUGCAGGGAGCCCUAGUGGGACUCAAUCCCGGGUCUCCAGGAUCACGCCCUGGGCUGAAGGCGGUGCUAAAUUGCUGAGCCACCCAGGGAUCUCAAGAUACACUUUUUUUAAGAAUAAAAUUUGCCUUAGGUAUUAUGAGAUAGCUUUUCCAUUGUACAUAUUCUGUUGUAUUUUCCAAACAAUGUAAAUAACAAAUUAUUUUAGAAGGAAGCUAUCUACAAAUUUCCUUACUAUUGCCCCAAUAACGUAAAAUAUAUUAAUUCUUAUUAAAUUGAAAUAAAUCAUAGACAUUAUAUACUUAUGAGCUACAUAAAUUUACAUUACAAAUUAUAUAAAUUAUAUGCAUAAAAAUUUAAGGAUAUAUUCUUAAAUUAAUCUUAAACACAAAUCUGCAAGGUGAAUGCUUUAACAUUUCCCAUUCUAAAAUCCAUGAAAUACUCCUCUAGAAGCAGCAGCAUUGUGAUAGAAUUCUUAAGUGAAGUUUGCUGAAACUUCUUGAGAUAAUGCAUAUCAUUUUUAGACCAACUAGUUUUGAGGUUAGACAAACUGAGUAAAUCUGAAAGUCUGGAUCAAGUGUCUCAUGUCUAACUUAAAGAUUAUUGAUAAAAAUUUAUUGGAAAGCAUUGAUUUUUUUUUUAAGUGGCUCAAUGCCCAGUGUGGAGCCCAGCAAGAGGCUCAAACUCAUGACCUGUCGAUUGAGACCUAGCUAAGAGCAAGAUCGGAUGCAUAACAACUGAGCCACCCAAGUACCCCUGGAAAGCACUGAUUUUUAAAAAUAUAGCCUCAAUGUGAAUUUGGGGUAACUGUUUUCCCUGGAAACCUAUGGAAUAGAGUUUUUUCUUCCAGAGGAAGAAAAAUUGUUUAUUUUCUUAGAAACUUUGCCCAAUAUACGUCUUUAAGAUGCCAGAAAUUUUGUAAAUUUCCUAUCUCUAAAAAAUGGAGCACUUCAGUCCAUUGAAUAUGCUCAAAACUAGAACACAUGAACUAAAAAGCGCUGAACUUUGAAAUUACAAAAGUAGAAGACAUCCAUAAAAUACAUUCUAUAUGAGACACACCAAUCAGAUUCUAUUUUUUUUUUUUGACAGCAUAAAAUGUACUUACAGAACUGGGUGUUAGUGUAACAAUAAAUUAUUAUACAAAGUAUUUUGAGGGAAAAAAUUCGGUUAUCCAAUCUUCUCUUUGAGCUCUAUGUAAAUAGAAAUUUACUCUAAGGACUGUUUGGGGUAUAAAAGUCAAAGUGAUCCAAAAGUGUUCAGGAGAUAACCUGAGAUUUUAGAAGCAAAAUGUAUACAAUCAAAACAGUUUUUUUUUUAAAGGUUUUAUGUUUUUUUUUUAAUUUAUUAUUUAUGAUAGUCACAGAGAGAGAGAGAGGCAGAGACAUAGACAGAGGGAGAGGCAGGCUCCAUGCACUGGGAGCCCGACGUGGGAUUCGAUCCUGGGUCUCCAGGAUCGCGCCCUGGGCCAAAGGCAGGCGCCAAACCGCUGCGCCACCCAGGGAUCCCUCAAAACAGGUUUUUAAAUCAGCUGGCAUUAAAAUAUUAGAAUAGAAAUCAUAAUAACUGCUAAAUGCCAUGGUAUCACUGUUAACCAGUACUAGCCAGAGAAUUAGAGAAGUAAAAAUAUUAGAGAAGUGAGACUUUCAGACCAAGAUGAGAAAAAAAAAGUUUGGAUAAAAUUUAAAGUACUC
Molecule: long non-coding RNA, 2966 nt
Filed under: Canis lupus familiaris (dog)
Lineage: Eukaryota; Metazoa; Chordata; Mammalia; Carnivora; Canidae
Description: lncRNA (ENSCAFG00000053390.1)
Source: RNAcentral